Molecule: non-coding RNA, 173 nt
Filed under: Sporomusaceae bacterium
Lineage: Bacteria; Bacillati; Bacillota; Negativicutes; Selenomonadales; Sporomusaceae
Description: 6S RNA
Rfam family: 6S / SsrS RNA
About the family: E. coli 6S RNA was the first non coding RNA to be sequenced, but its function was unknown until recently. It consists of 184 nucleotides that fold into an extended hairpin structure with a large single-stranded internal bulge. The 6S RNA specifically associates with RNA polymerase holoenzyme containing the sigma70 specificity factor.
Source: RNAcentral
CAUUGCCUGAGAUGCACGUUAACUUGAAUAUGUCCAACCUACUUUUAUAAAUAGGGAAUUCGAUGAUAUGCGGCUGCCGGGCCACCUUGAGUGGAUGGCAAAAUCAUGUCUAGGAUACCCACCUGCGGAUAGCGGGUUUGGACAUAUGAAGGAGACGACAUUACGGGCUUUAU